AUGUGAUCCAGUAUAUGGGGAUGAUUCCCACACAUUCAACGCCCGGUUUACAGGAAAAACAAAAGGGGGGAUAAAAUAUCCCCCCUUUGCUUAACU
RNAcentral lists this small RNA (96 nucleotides) under [Enterobacter] lignolyticus SCF1. Its description in RNAcentral is "Enterobacter cloacae SCF1 sraA". It matches the Rfam family "sraA". The record is from Rfam by way of RNAcentral. Lineage: Bacteria; Pseudomonadati; Pseudomonadota; Gammaproteobacteria; Enterobacterales; Enterobacteriaceae.